This 472-nucleotide ribosomal RNA is filed under the name Picochlorum sp. RCC944. RNAcentral's name for it is "partial Eukaryotic large subunit ribosomal RNA". It matches the Rfam family "Eukaryotic large subunit ribosomal RNA", at positions 659 to 1148 of the family's 3401-position model. The record is from RNAcentral. Lineage: Eukaryota; Viridiplantae; Chlorophyta; Trebouxiophyceae.
ACACGGACCAAGGAGUCUAACAUGUAUGCGAGUCGGCGGGUGGAAAACCCGUAGGCGCAAGUAACCUAACAGGUGGGAUUUUUGCACCAUCGACCAACCUUGAUCUUCUGUGAAGGGUUUGAGUACGAGCAUACCUGUUGGGACCCGAAAGAUGGUGAACUAUGCCUGAGCAGGGUGAAGCCAGAGGAAACUCUGGUGGAGGCUCGUAGAUGUGCUGACGUGCAAAUCGCUUUUCGGACUUGGGUAUAGGGGCGAAAGACUAAUCGAACCAUCUAGUAGCUGGUUCCCCCCGAAGUUUCCCUCAGGAUAGCUGGAGCUUUUUAGUUUUAUCGGGUAAAGCGAAUGAUUAGUGGCCUCGGGGAUGUAACAUCCUCGACCAAUUCUCAAACUUUAAAUAGGUAAGAGUCGCGGUUGCCUAAUCGAACCGUGGCGUUAAAUACAAGCUCCAAGUGGGCCAUUUUUGGUAAGCAGA